GAUUAUCUCCCCGACAAUAGGGAUUUGGGUUGGUGAGUUUGUGAGGGCGAAACCUACGGGCUAGCCAUGAGAUUGGGUAAUGAGAAGUUAAUCUUGCAUUCAUCAUGAGCAUUGUAUUGAGCAUCGCAUAUUAUAUUGUUCAGGCAUAUUAGCUGCAUUUGUUAGUUGGCUACUUACUUUCCUUUAUUCUAUUAUGCCUAAUUAGACCUAGUGGGAUAGUCGGCGUGGUUGGUUGCCG
RNAcentral lists this long non-coding RNA (238 nucleotides) under Ananas comosus (pineapple). Its description in RNAcentral is "long non-coding RNA (ACOM_LNC021100)". Lineage: Eukaryota; Viridiplantae; Streptophyta; Magnoliopsida; Poales; Bromeliaceae. The record is from RNAcentral.